GAUGAACGCUGGCGGCGUGCCUAAUACAUGCAAGUCGAGCGAACGGACGAGAAGCUUGCUUCUCUGAUGUUGGCGGCGGACGGGUGAGUAACACGUGGAUAACCUACCUAUAAGACUGGGAUAACUUCGGGAAACCGGAGCUAAUACCGGAUGAUAUCUUGAACCGCAUGGUUCAAAAGUGAAAGACGGUCUUGCUGUCACUUAUAGAUGGAUCCGCGCUGCAUUAGCUAGUUGGUAAGGUAACGGCUUACCAAGGCAACGAUGCAUAGCCGACCUGAGAGGGUGAUCGGCCACACUGGAACUGAGACACGGUCCAGACUCCUACGGGAGGCAGCAGUAGGGAAUCUUCCGCAAUGGGCGAAAGCCUGACGGAGCAACGCCGCGUGAGUGAUGAAGGUCUUCGGAUCGUAAAACUCUGUUAUUAGGGAAGAACAUAUGUGUAAGUAACUGUGCACAUCUUGACGGUACCUAAUCAGAAAGCCACGGCUAACUACGUG
This 497-nucleotide ribosomal RNA is filed under the name uncultured bacterium. Its description in RNAcentral is "partial 16S ribosomal RNA". It matches the Rfam family "Bacterial small subunit ribosomal RNA", at positions 28 to 507 of the family's 1533-position model. The record is from RNAcentral.